ACGGGUGAGUAACGCGUGGGAACGUACCUUUUGGUUCGGAACAACUGAGGGAAACUUCAGCUAAUACCGGAUAAGCCCUUACGGGGAAAGAUUUAUCGCCGAAAGAUCGGCCCGCGUCUGAUUAGCUAGUUGGUGAGGUAAUGGCUCACCAAGGCGACGAUCAGUAGCUGGUCUGAGAGGAUGAUCAGCCACAUUGGGACUGAGACACGGCCCGAACUCCUACGGGAGGCAGCAGUGGGGAAUAUUGGACAAUGGGCGAAAGCCUGAUCCAGCCAUGCCGCGUGAGUGAUGAAGGCCCUAGGGUUGUAAAGCUCUUUUGUGCGGGAAGAUAAUGACGGUACCGCAAGAAUAAGCCCCGGCUAACUUCGUGCCAGCAGCCGCGGUAAUACGAAGGGGGCUAGCGUUGCUCGGAAUCACUGGGCGUAAAGGGUGCGUAGGCGGGUUCUUAAGUCAGAGGUGAAAUCCUGGAGCUCAACUCCAGAACUGCCUUUGAUACUGAGAGUCUUGAGUAUGACUGAGGUGAGUGGAACUGCGAGUGUAGAGGUGAAAUUCGUAGA
This 557-nucleotide ribosomal RNA is filed under the name uncultured bacterium. RNAcentral's name for it is "bacterial SSU rRNA". It matches the Rfam family "Bacterial small subunit ribosomal RNA", at positions 102 to 694 of the family's 1533-position model. The record is from RNAcentral.